RNAcentral lists this long non-coding RNA (1033 nucleotides) under Marmota monax (woodchuck). Lineage: Eukaryota; Metazoa; Chordata; Mammalia; Rodentia; Sciuridae. The record is from RNAcentral.
UUUUCAUGGAAAGAUGAAUUUUUAGAAUUUAAUAAUUGGUUACCGUCUAAAGAUAUUUCUGUUGACCAUGCGGAGGUGUAGACAUUUCCCUGUUGCCCUCUGUACCCAGAAAAAUGAAAUCUACUCAGUAAUGUAUGACUAAUUGCUCCCGUCACAGGCAAAACAUGUAUCAACAGGCUAAAGACAUUCCACAGGAAACACAUGACUCUGUGCUCAUAUCUGAUGGAAGAAAAAUAGAAAAGGAAAUGCAGUAAGGUUUGCAGUCUCAUAACCUUUUCUCCUCAAACCCCACAUACUCUUUGAUAUUGUUGGAUCCCAAGACAGAUUUGAAAAUCCCCUCCUUGCUUAAAGCACCAUUGUUAAACUUAGCACUGAAUUGUCUCUCUUUGUGGAUUUGGGUUGGCUUCUUUGCUAAAUGAAUUACUUCUGCAAGAAAUGUGAUCUCCUUCAUGCUGGGGUUGAUGUUUCAGCUACACCAAACCUCCUGUACCAAGCCCCACCUGGGCUAUGGGGAUAGACCUACCUGUUUCUGGGGGCUGGAAUGUGCUUUCCUAAAGCCCGCACAAAGUUUUUUCCUAGCCUGGAGUGGUGGUGCAUGCCUGUAAUCCCAGGAGGACUGAGAGUUCAAAGCCAGCCUCAGCAAUAGUGAGGCGCUAAGCAACUCAGUGGGACCCUGUCUCAAAAUACAAAAUAGGGCUGGGGAUGUGGCUCAUUGGUUGAGUGCCCUCAGUGCAAUUGCUGGUAACCCCUUCCCACCAAAAAAAGGGCUGGGAAUGUGGUUCAGUGGUUAAGGGAUCAAUCCCUGGUACCCCAAACAAACAAAAACCUUAUUCUCUCACUUCAUGCAGGCUUCUGCUCAGAUGCUCCUGUGUGUCAGAGAGGCCUCCAACUACUCUACCAAAAAGAGAUCCACUAGAGAAACUUUGGGUCAUGGCUGGUGGUGGUGAUAGUUGUAAGCCUACUUAAAUAGAUUGAAUUUUACACUGAAAAUUGCUCACAUGGUAAAUCUUAUGUACAUUUUACUACAAUAAAA